This 143-nucleotide non-coding RNA is filed under the name unclassified sequences. RNAcentral describes it as "IMES-2 RNA motif". It matches the Rfam family "IMES-2 RNA motif". The record is from Rfam by way of RNAcentral.
AUUUGACUUAAGGGGCAACUCUUAACUGGCCAGGUAAGGAAAAACCGAGAGGUUCAAGCUUACAGGGCAGAAAACUCUGCAAAGUAGCGCUUAACAUAGCAGGGUGGCGGGUUCGGCGGUAGCGCAUUACAACGACGAACCAA